GACGAACGCUGGCGGCGUGCUUAACACAUGCAAGUCGAACGGAAAGGCCCUGCUUUUGUGGGGUGCUCGAGUGGCGAACGGGUGAGUAACACGUGAGUAACCUGCCUUUGACUUUGGGAUAACUUCAGGAAACUGGGGCUAAUACCGGAUAGGCGCUCCUGCUGCAUGGUGGGGGUUGGAAAGUUUGGGCGGUUGGGGAUGGACUCGCGGCUUAUCAGCUUGUUGGUGGGGUUGUGGCUUACCAAGGCUUUGACGGGUAGCCGGCCUGAGAGGGUGACCGGCCACAUUGGGACUGAGAUACGGCCCAGACUCCUACGGGAGGCAGCAGUGGGGAAUAUUGCACAAUGGGCGGAAGCCUGAUGCAGCAACGCCGCGUGCGGGAUGACGGCCUUCGGGUUGUAAACCGCUUUCGCCAGGGACGAAGCGAGAGUGACGGUAAUUGGAGAAGAAGCACCGGCUAACUACGUG
Molecule: ribosomal RNA, 468 nt
Filed under: uncultured bacterium
Lineage: Bacteria
Description: partial 16S ribosomal RNA
Rfam family: Bacterial small subunit ribosomal RNA
Source: RNAcentral